Molecule: ribosomal RNA, 483 nt
Filed under: uncultured bacterium
Lineage: Bacteria
Description: partial 16S ribosomal RNA
Rfam family: Bacterial small subunit ribosomal RNA
Source: RNAcentral
GACGAACGCUGGCGGCGUGCUUAACACAUGCAAGUCGAACGCUGAAGCUCAGCUUUUGUUGGGUGGAUGAGUGGCGAACGGGUGAGUAACACGUGAGUAACCUGCCCCCUUCUUUGGGAUAACGCCCGGAAACGGGUGCUAAUACUGGAUAUUCACUGGUCUUCGCAUGGGGGUUGGUGGAAAGGGUUUUUCUGGUGGGGGAUGGGCUCGCGGCCUAUCGGCUUGUUGGUGGGGUGAUGGCCUACCAAGGCUUUGACGGGUAGCCGGCCUGAGAGGGUGAACGGUCACAUUGGGACUGAGAUAAGGCCCAGACUCCUACGGGAGGCAGCAGUGGGGAAUAUUGCACAAUGGGCGCAAGCCUGAUGCAGCGACGCCGCGUGAGGGAUGGAGGCCUUCGGGUUGUGAACCUCUUUCGCUCAUGGUCAAGCCGCAACAAUGGUUGUGGUGAGGGUAGUGGGUAAAGAAGCGCCGGCUAACUACGUG